RNAcentral lists this long non-coding RNA (1314 nucleotides) under Pogona vitticeps (central bearded dragon). RNAcentral's name for it is "lncRNA (ENSPVIG00000012730.1)". Lineage: Eukaryota; Metazoa; Chordata; Lepidosauria; Squamata; Agamidae. The record is from RNAcentral.
AUGGCAUCCACCACAUUGUUGAUUCUCCAUGCCAGACUCAAAAUGAGACUGCUUCAAUCUUGGUUUCUCAUGCUGUUCGACCCCAUGUCAGACCUUCCAACCAAAAGACUGCCAGUCCCUCGCGACCUAGUCACUCAACUCGCAUGGUGGACUCACCUUCCACACCUGCUGACUGGCAGACCCUUUCUGCCCUUCCAGCCCACCAUUCAGGUCACCACCGACGCCAGCCCAUCCGGCUGGGGUGCCCACUGCUUUUCUCACAGGAUCCACCAGCUGUGGUCAAAACAGGAACAAACUCUCCGCAUAAACCACUUGGAACUUUUGGCUAUUAUCAGAGCCUUCAUUGCCUUUCUCCCACUCAUCAAGGGACAAGUGGUCCAACUGGCCACAGACAACACAACAGCACUUUUCUAUGUAAACAAGCAGGGAGGAAUACACUCCCGCUCCUUACUUUAUCUGGUUGUCAGCCUUUGGGAAUGUUGCUACCGCAAACACAUCUACCCCAUAGCUGUCCAUAUUACCACGGAAGAUAACUACAUUGCCGAUCGCCUUAGUCGUCUCCCUUCAACGACACACGAAUGGUCCCUGAAGGACUCCAUAUUCCACCAACUGUGUCAUCAUUGGGGCUCCCUGCCAAUCGACCUCUGCAACCAGCAGCGAUCGAAAAUGCCAGAUCUUCUGCUCCAGAGCCGGAGCGGACAAAUCCUCAUUCGAGGAUGCCUUCAUGGUGGACUGGUCCAAGGACUUCCUUUACCUUUUCCCACCAAUCCUGCUCAUUCAACACGUGAUCACCCGGCUCAAACAGUCCAACGCCCAUGCCAUUUUCAUAGCUCCAAAGUGGCCUCGGCAACCCUGGUUUACUCACCUGGACUCCCUGUCCAUGGACUGGAUUCAUCUUCCGCUGGUCCCGAACCUUCUCAGUGUCAACCAGAGCAUGAUCCAUCACCCGGAUGUAGCCUCCCUCAAUCUCAUAGCGUGGAAGAUAUCCCCAAAAUCAUGGUGGUGCUUCACCGAGCCUGUAAACCUUCUAUCGUCUCCCUGUAUGAGAGCAAGUGGAAAGUCUUCCUUAAAUAUUGUGCUGAGCACAACUUACCUACUACACCAGUUUCACUUGCAACCUUACUUACCUUCCUUCUUCACCUCUUCCACAACAGCCUCACUCUGUCCACACUAAAGGUGUACAUCUCCGCCAUCGUUGCUCACCAACCAACCAAUUCUCCAUCAGCAAAACUCUUCUCACAUCCGACACUAAAGAGGUUCCUUAAAGGACUUUGUAACACUCGACCACCACUUCAGUGUAUACUUUCUCAAUAG